Molecule: long non-coding RNA, 751 nt
Organism: Paralichthys olivaceus (Japanese flounder)
Lineage: Eukaryota; Metazoa; Chordata; Actinopteri; Pleuronectiformes; Paralichthyidae
Source: RefSeq, a predicted model, not a curated record
AUGAGGCACCAUGAGGAGCGUGGGCCUUUGUUCCUCCUUUCUGCAGCUUGUCCUGCCUUGGUUGUAGCUGGUGGUGUUGGUGACACAGAGCUGGUUGGAGAUCCAGAGCUUUCGCCUUUGGAUAGUAAAGUCAUUCUCGUCAGGGCAAGCAUGGCCUUACCUGCUUUCUAUGAGACAAAGAUUGUGAAGGCAAAACCAACAACACUCCCAUGACACCAGAGGGGGGCUGCCACUGAACCGAGACAACAGACGGGCGGUCUGUCCCACCUUCACCUUGAGGUGCUGUGGGGGGUUCUCAAAAUGCAGUGUUGCACCUGCAAAGCCAAAAAAUAGCUGACUCCCUGUGAGAACCCCGCGCAGUCUGAUGUCACUUCCCUCGUCCACAUAGCAGUCCUCCAGAUGCUCUAUGAAGACGGGUGGAUCCAGAUGUUUGGCAGAGGAGAGGUUGAGAGAACCUGAACAUGAAAAGGAGGACUGCCACUGAAUACUUGAAGCUUAGCUGAAGAAGCACUUCAUCAGCAGCCCUUACCUCUAUCAGUGCAUUUGUCCGAGGGCCUGGUGUUAGCAGUUCCUGGCCCACUGCUGGGUGAAGAUGAUGAUGAUGAUGAUGAUGAUGAUGCACGUGCUGGCUUGAUCUGCAUCCUGAAGGUUGAUACAAAACUCUGUUUGCUGCCAUCGCCGUUCAUGUCUGUCAGAAAACCCUGGCCUCUGAGGCAAACAAGUUUACAAAGUCAUUUCCCAGCAGAUUAUC